Molecule: ribosomal RNA, 462 nt
Filed under: uncultured bacterium
Lineage: Bacteria
Description: partial 16S ribosomal RNA
Rfam family: Bacterial small subunit ribosomal RNA
Source: RNAcentral
ACGAACGCUGGCGGCGUGCUUAACACCUGCAAGUCGAACGGAAAGGCCUUUUCGGAGGUACUCGAGUGGCGAACGGGUGAGUAACACGUGGGUGAUCUGCCCUGCACUCUGGGAUAAGCCUGGGAAACUGGGUCUAAUACCGGAUAGGACCGCACUUUAGUGUGUGUGGUGGAAAGUUUUUUCGGUGUAGGAUGAGCCCGCGGCCUAUCAGCUUGUUGGUGGGGUAAUGGCCUACCAAGGCGGCGACGGGUAGCCGGACUGAGAGGUUGGUCGGCCACAUUGGGGCUGAGAUACGGCCCAGACUUCUACGGGGGGCAGCAGGGGGGAAUAUUGCAAAAUGGGCGCAAGCCUGAUGCAGCGACGCCGCGUGGGGGAUGACGGCCUUCGGGUUGUAAACUCCUUUCGCCAGGGACGAAGCGUUUUGUGACGGUACCUGGAGAAGAAGCACCGGCUAACUACGUG